CCUACGGGAGGCAGCAGUGGGGAAUAUUGGGCAAUGGAGGAAACUCUGACCCAGCGACGCCGCGUGCGGGAUGAAGGCCUUCGGGUUGUAAACCGCUUUCAGUAGGGAAGAAGCGAAAGUGACGGUACCUACAAAAGAAGCACCGGCUAACUAUGUGCCAGCAGCCGCGGUAAUACAUAGGGUGCAAGCGUUGUCCGGAAUUAUUGGGCGUAAAGAGCUCGUAGGUCGUUUGUUACGUCGGAUGUGAAAACCUGAGGCUCAACCUCAGGCCUGCAUUCGAUACGGGCAAACUAGAGUUUGGUAGGGGAGACUGGAAUUCCUGGUGUAGCGGUGGAAUGCGCAGAUAUCAGGAGGAACACCAAUGGCGAAGGCAGGUCUCUGGGCCAAUACUGACACUGAGGAGCGAAAGUCUGGGGAGCGAACAGGAUUAGAUACCCUGGUAGUCCAGACCGUAAACGGUGGGCACUAGUUGUGGGAACCUUCCACGGUUUCUGCGACGCCGCUAACGCAUUAAGUGCCCCGCCUGGGGAGUACGANCGCAGAUAACUACAGAUAGAGCGNGAGAGNGCGACGACGACGACGAGGAGAGG
This 590-nucleotide ribosomal RNA is filed under the name uncultured bacterium. RNAcentral's name for it is "bacterial SSU rRNA". It matches the Rfam family "Bacterial small subunit ribosomal RNA", at positions 338 to 1533 of the family's 1533-position model. The record is from RNAcentral.